UCUGCUGGCUGGCGGGUGGCCCCCCAAUUGGGGGGAGGAAAGUCCGGGCUCCGCAGGAGACUGUGCAGGGUAACGCCCUGGCGCCCGCAAGGGCGACGGAAAGUGCCACAGAAACGCAGACCGCCCGCAAGGGCAAGGGUGAAACGGUGCGGUAAGAGCGCACCAGCGUGCGCGCAAGCGCUCGGCUGGGCAAACCCCACAGGGAGCAAGGUCGAAUAGGGAGGGGAUGAAGCGCUCCGCAGACCCUCCGGGUUGACCGCGUGAGGCUUCGCGCAAGCGAACGCCCCAGAGAGAUCACCCGCUCAAACAGAACCCGGCUUACACGCCAGCAGAGCGC
Molecule: non-coding RNA, 337 nt
Organism: Armatimonadetes bacterium DC
Lineage: Bacteria; Bacillati; Armatimonadota
Source: Rfam